This is a small nucleolar RNA of Phyllostomus hastatus (greater spear-nosed bat), 131 nucleotides long. RefSeq annotates it as small nucleolar RNA SNORA44. The record is from RefSeq and is a predicted model, not a curated record. The transcript has a single exon. NCBI's taxonomy places the organism in Eukaryota, Metazoa, Chordata, Mammalia, Chiroptera, Phyllostomidae.
CUGCGUGUUCCCAAGGGCUGCAGCUGGUUGUAGCUGUGGGAUCCCCAACUGCAUGCGAGAGCAGCUGGGAGAGGCUCUGACAGCUGAGGUCAGCAUAGCACCUGCAGCUGCCACUCAGCUUUCCCUUAGCA